Molecule: ribosomal RNA, 253 nt
Filed under: uncultured bacterium
Lineage: Bacteria
Description: partial 16S ribosomal RNA
Rfam family: Bacterial small subunit ribosomal RNA
Source: RNAcentral
UACGUAGGGCGCAAGCGUUAUCCGGAAUUAUUGGGCGUAAAGAGCUCGUAGGCGGUUUGUCGCGUCUGCCGUGAAAGUCCGGGGCUCAACUCCGGAUCUGCGGUGGGUACGGGCAGACUAGAGUGAUGUAGGGGAGACUGGAAUUCCUGGUGUAGCGGUGAAAUGCGCAGAUAUCAGGAGGAACACCGAUGGCGAAGGCAGGUCUCUGGGCAUUUAACUGACGCUGAGGAGCGAAAGCAUGGGAGCGAACAGG